Molecule: ribosomal RNA, 253 nt
Filed under: uncultured prokaryote
Description: partial 16S ribosomal RNA
Rfam family: Bacterial small subunit ribosomal RNA
Source: RNAcentral
CCUUCUUUUUCCCGCUUUUUUCGGAAUUACUGGGCGUAAAGGGCGCGUAGGCGGCCCGCUAAGUCGAACGUGAAAUCCCCAGGCUCAACCUGGGAACUGCGUCCGAUACUGGCAGGCUUGAAUCCGGGAGAGGGAUGUGGAAUUCCAGGUGUAGCGGUGAAAUGCGUAGAUAUCUGGAGGAACACCGGUGGCGAAGGCGAGUCUCUGGCCUAAUACUGACGCUGAUGCGCGAAAGCUAGGGGAGCAAACGGGA